AGCGAACGCUGACGGCAGGCCUAACACAUGCAAGUCGAACGAAGUCUUCGGACUUAGUGGCGGACGGGUGAGUAACACGUGGGAACGUACCUUUUGGUUCGGAACAACUCAGGGAAACUUGAGCUAAUACCGAAUGUGCCCUUAGGGGGAAAGAUUUAUCGCCAUUAGAGCGGCCCGCGUUAGAUUAGCUAGUUGGUGAGGUAAAGGCUCACCAAGGCUACGAUCUAUAGCUGGUCUGAGAGGAUGAUCAGCCACACUGGGACUGAGACACGGCCCAGACUCCUACGGGAGGCAGCAGUGGGGAAUCUUGCGCAAUGGGCGAAAGCCUGACGCAGCCAUGCCGCGUGAAUGAUGAAGGUCUUAGGAUUGUAAAAUUCUUUUAGCAGGGACGAUAAUGACGGUACCUGCAGAAAAAGCCCCGGCUAACUACGUGCCAGCCGCCGCAGUAA
RNAcentral lists this ribosomal RNA (449 nucleotides) under uncultured bacterium. RNAcentral describes it as "partial 16S ribosomal RNA". It matches the Rfam family "Bacterial small subunit ribosomal RNA", at positions 29 to 523 of the family's 1533-position model. The record is from RNAcentral.